GGCCAUUACUACGGCCUACCAAGGAGUCCGAACUUGUCGGUUGAAGUUCGGUUGGAGUCUGUAGCUGGAGAGAAGUGGCUAGCUAUUCAUCUGAGAGGAGCUUGGAGUCUGACUCUCGCAGGAGCCCGGAUGGAGUCUUCUUUCAGUUGAAGUCGGGGAUGAGAUCUGGCUCCCGUGGGAGCCCGGACGAAGUCUACCUGCAAUCA
This 206-nucleotide long non-coding RNA is filed under the name Elaeis guineensis (African oil palm). RNAcentral's name for it is "long non-coding RNA (EGUI_LNC051628)". Lineage: Eukaryota; Viridiplantae; Streptophyta; Magnoliopsida; Arecales; Arecaceae. The record is from RNAcentral.